RNAcentral lists this ribosomal RNA (775 nucleotides) under uncultured Neocallimastigales. RNAcentral's name for it is "partial large subunit ribosomal RNA". It matches the Rfam family "Eukaryotic large subunit ribosomal RNA", at positions 22 to 639 of the family's 3401-position model. The record is from RNAcentral. Lineage: Eukaryota; Fungi; Neocallimastigomycota; Neocallimastigomycetes; Neocallimastigales.
GUACACGCUGUGACUAGCAUAUCAAUAAGCGGAGGAAAAGAAACUAACAAGGAUUCCCUUAGUAACGGCGAGUGAAGCGGGAAGAGCUCAAAUUUGAAAUCUUCAAGGUUUUACCUUGACGAAUUGUAGUUUAAAGAAGUGUUUUCUGUUGAGGUUUUGGUAAAAGUUCUUUGGAAUAGGACAUCAUAGAGGGUGAGAAUCCCGUAUUUGACCAUUAUUUUCAGCUUUGUGAUACACUUUCAAAGAGUCGGAUUGUUUGGGAAUGCAGUCCAAAAUGGGUGGUAAAUUUCAUCUAAAGCUAAAUAUUGGCGAGAGACCGAUAGCGAACAAGUACCGUGAGGGAAAGAUGAAAAGAACUUUGAAAAGAGAGUUAAACAGUACGUGAAAUUGUCAAAAGGGAAGCGUUUGACACCAGUGUUGUUUUUCUCGAAAAUCAAUUAAAGAACUGUUUAUGCUAAGCUGUUUAGACUUUAUCAGCUAUCUGUUUAGUUUUGAGCUUUUCUUUAAUGCACUUUUCAGUUAACAAGUCAACAUCAAUCUCUUUUGCUGUAAAAAAGCUUGAGGAAGGUGGCUUGAGAUUCGUCUUAAGUGUUUAUAGCCUCUUGCCUAUGCAGUCGGAGAGAUUGAGGUCUGCAGCGUAGAUCCUUCGGGGCUAAAUGCAUUUGUGCUAAGUUAUAGCAUUUUAUAGACAACUUGUUGACUAUAAUUAGUCUUGUAGCUUACUCGCUUAUGUUAUUUUACCUACGCUUAGGAUGUUGAACUACUGAGACAUAGA